RNAcentral lists this transfer RNA (73 nucleotides) under Pteropus alecto (black flying fox). It matches the Rfam family "tRNA". Rfam says of the family: Transfer RNA (tRNA) molecules are approximately 80 nucleotides in length. Their secondary structure includes four short double-helical elements and three loops (D, anti-codon, and T loops). Further hydrogen bonds mediate the characteristic L-shaped molecular structure. tRNAs have two regions of fundamental functional importance: the anti-codon, which is responsible for specific mRNA codon recognition, and the 3' end, to which the tRNAs corresponding amino acid is attached (by aminoacyl-tRNA synthetases). tRNAs cope with the degeneracy of the genetic code in two manners: having more than one tRNA (with a specific anti-codon) for a particular amino acid; and 'wobble' base-pairing, i.e. permitting non-standard base-pairing at the 3rd anti-codon position. Lineage: Eukaryota; Metazoa; Chordata; Mammalia; Chiroptera; Pteropodidae. The record is from Rfam by way of RNAcentral. RNAcentral also lists the same sequence under 1 other name.
GGUUCCGUAGUGUAGCGGUUAGCAUGUCUGCUUUACACACAGAAGGUCCUGGGUUCGCCUCCCAGUGGAGCCA